This 354-nucleotide non-coding RNA is filed under the name Beta vulgaris subsp. vulgaris (sugar beet). Its description in RNAcentral is "Bacterial large subunit ribosomal RNA". It matches the Rfam family "Bacterial large subunit ribosomal RNA", at positions 2558 to 2925 of the family's 2925-position model. Lineage: Eukaryota; Viridiplantae; Streptophyta; Magnoliopsida; Caryophyllales; Amaranthaceae. The record is from Rfam by way of RNAcentral.
GUAUGUUCCUAGGGUUGGCAUGUUUGCCCAUUAAUGCGGUACGUGAGCUGGGUUCAGAACGUCGUGAGACAGUUUGAUCCAUAUCGUGCCCACGGUAAACGCUGGGUAGCCAAGUGCGGAGCGGAUAACUGCUGAAAGAUGAGUGCUCUCCUAUUCCGACUUCCCCAGAUCCGCCGAUAGCACAGCUGAGGAAGCGACGGGUUCUCUGCCCCUGCGGCGUGGGGGUAGAGCGACAAAAGUUUUGAAAGAGAAGGUCACGGCGAGACAAGCUGUUUAUCAUUACGAUAGGUGUCAAGUGGAACUGCAUUGAUGUAUGCAGCCGAGGCAUCCUAGCAGACCGAUACUCUUGAACCU